Molecule: long non-coding RNA, 5869 nt
Filed under: Heterocephalus glaber (naked mole-rat)
Lineage: Eukaryota; Metazoa; Chordata; Mammalia; Rodentia; Bathyergidae
Description: lncRNA (ENSHGLG00100038483.1)
Source: RNAcentral
UAAUAAAGAGCUCCUAUCAAUGAUUAGCAGUGUCACUGCUACAAACCCCUAGAGAGCAUCAUCCAUGUGCAGAUGGGAAAGCCAAGGCCAAAGCCCCAAAGCUAGUGUAUGGUGGAGCCGCCCAGGAAUUCCAGUCCAAAGCCACACACUCACCAGCCACUGGCCCUGCAGCUUUUGCAUUACUUUGAUUCUUUAAUCGUCUCUGGGGUGACCUCUUUGGGGUAUAAUGGAAGUUGCCUGCAAAGUCUGAGGUGGCCUUCAGACUGGCAAUCCUUCUGACCUCUCCUCGCAGUUGGAAUGCAAUGGGAAGUACCUGCGAAUGGAAGUAUCUGCUGUCCAAAAGCCUUGCAAGCCUAGCGCCAGGGCUGCACCCUGAAAGAGCCGCACCCUCAAGGGACUGGCAGGCCCACCCCUGCUCUGGUCUCCCUGGACAGAGAGGAGGACACAUGUGGAUGCUAACCUUUGCAUUCAUUAGCCAGCAGCUGCAGCCAGAGAUCAAUGAUAAGUAGAAAUUGUGCACGUCCGACUGCUGUGCCUUCGCUCGCUACGAAGCACGUGACUUCCUAUUAACGGUAUCUCUCGUCUUACCAAACCGAUAUUUCCUGUAAAGGGCUGAGACUAAUUGUGGUUUUAACAAGGGUCAUGUUAUGCAUUUCUAUGAGAGCGAACAGCCAUAGGUCAGACAGUCAGACGGUCAGUCUGGAAAAGAGAUCCAUACUCCACAUCUUUAAGGCUGAUGUGAAGCCCAGAUAAGUGUGUUGGUGAUGUGGAAGUUACCCUGGGAAGAUAGAAUGGGAGAAAAUGAACUCUGGAGAGAAGCAACUGCCUUAGAGAUGCAGCAUCAAGGUUUUCUUUGGCGUGUAUUCGGGGAAAGCAAUCUUUGAAGAUGAGAUUCUACAGUCUGACAGCGGCAGCUCCUACCUUCCCUGGCCCCAGGAGAGCCAGGCAGGAUUUUGGUGGCUGUCACUCUGUCUGGGGCAGUCACAGAGAGGAGGAGAGGAGGAUGUGGCUGCCGAUGGCAAUUUUCUCAGUUUGCUGCUUUGCCACUCCUUGCUGUCGAGGAAGGCAGAGGCUGCCUGGGAGAGCCCGGUCCCCGGAUUGGCUUGUUACUCCACAGAGUGGAAAUGCUGUGAUUGAACUCAGAGCUCCCGAGCUCAACCUGUGCCUUGACAAACAACAUGAAGACGAGAGCAAGGUUUGAACUUCCCCACUUAACCCACAUCUGGCUCAACAGCCCCCUUUUCCUGUUAAGACCUCAAAUGUGAUAUGACAGGGUACCAUUUAUCACUUAGACAUCCUCCACUGCUUCCCUUUCCUUUACCCUGUCUCUUCCACUUACUUUAGGUCAAACUAAGACAGUUCUUACAGGGGAGCUUUCAACUUGGGUGACACUUUCCUGAUUCUGAAUCUUGUUCCGAAAUGCCACAAGCUAAGUUGCCAGCCUAGACUAUCAACAUGUCAGAACAUUUUCGUUUUUUUUUUUUUUUUUCCUAGGCACCACUCAAUCAUCUUUCUUCCAGUGCAUCUAGGAAUUUCAUCUGGGAAAUUAAUGUCUGAUCCUACUAGGGAAAUUUGAAACAACCACUAUAAAAUGCUAAAAUCCCCCCCUCCCUGAAUGAUUUAAUGGACAGUGCAUAUGCAUGAAGUUUAGAACAGAUCUGCCCAAUAGGACUUUUUGAAGGAUGGAAAUGUUCCAUAUCUGGACUGUCCAAUAUGGUAACCAGUAGCCCCAUAUGGGCACUGAGAAAAUGAAUUAUAGCUGUUACAACUGGGGAACUAGAUUUUAAACUAUGUGAGUUUUUUCUUUUUAUUUAAUAUGAAUUAGAACAAUUCUAUUGAACUAAAAUUUACAUACCACACAAUUUACAAAUGUAAAAUGUAGGAUUCAAUAGGUUUUAGGACAUUGACAGAGUUGUACAACUAUACUACAAUCAAAUUUAAGUUAUUUUUGAUAUCCCAAAGCAAACCACUGUAUCCACUAGCUAUGAUCUCUCAAUUUCUCCCCUCUACAUCUAGGCAACUGAGAAUAGCACUGAGCUGUUCUUUACCAUCACAGAUUUUCCUAUUCUGGAAAUCUCUUUUUUGUUGUUGUUGUUCAAAAUAGACUAUGCUUAUAACAACGAUAAAGAUCUAAACUAUGCAAAAUUUAAUCAUUUUAAAUUUAAAAUUAAAUUUGGCCAUAAUCUCUACAAAUUACAUGCAUUAGAGCCUGGUAAACAUGAUAAGAUACUGAAUAAAUCCCACUAGUGAGGAAAAUGUGGUAACAUUUUCAGAAAAGUUAUAACUAUUCAUUCAAUUAUUUUCUCUAGCCCCCAAGACUAGUAACAUCUUUGUAAGUUGCAUUUGAUCUUACUUCUGUUGGUCUGAAUCCUAUAUCCCAGCAAAGAGAUGAAAGGAAAGAAAAUGCUAACUCAUAAAGUGAUGCAUUUAGGCUGAGGUUUGGAGCAAGACAACGAGCAGAACAACCUGAAUUGUUUCGAGGCAGUCCAUGAGCUAGGCAACAAGAAGUUACCAGGUGUGAGAAUGGGAACACCUGGCAAAACAGUGCCGAUCCUCAUUGUGAGCAGAGCCAGUGCUCUGGCAUUCCUUCCUUCCUUCCUUCAUCUAUUCAUCCAACAGUGACGAAGUCUCUACUCCAGAUACAUCAUAUCCUGGGAUAAUGAAAAGAUUCGUGGAAACUCAAAAGAUCAAGAAGAUCCACUGAAUCAGAAACUAGGAAUGCAGUACAGCAAACUAGAUUUUAACCAAGGCUUCUAUGGGAUUCUGGUGCUCGUGAAGGUUGGAGAGUCCUUGUCCUACUACCACUCCUUGGAUUCUCAUUGGUAAAAGCUGGAGAUCUUUCUCAGCCCGAGGCUCUGGGGAAGAUUCCUGGAGCAUGAGCUCCUCUUAGGAAACGAAGGUGGGACCCAGCAUUUUUGGGAAUUGCAACCCAUUGAAUAGAAGAAUUCAGGAGCUCUAGAAUUUUUUCCUAGCAAGGAGCAAGUUGAAGAUGGACUUACAGCCCUUUACUGAGUGCCCAGUGCUGGCUGCUAGAUUUCCCAAUUUCUGAUGACCUGAAUGGAGGGAGGAAAUGUGGUUAAGGAGUUUAAUCCCAACCCAGCCACUGACUGUGUGAUUUGGACAGUUGGUUCUCACUGCCUGGCACCCUCAUCUAUAAACAGGGAGAAUCAAAUUUGUGAAUGCAGAUCGGGAGCUGUCAUCAAUGUCAAAGGAAGGGACAAGGAUAUCAAAGUAUAUGUAAUCCCAGCUUCUCUUCUUCCUAGGAGGAUUUUGUAUUUCAGAUUUUUUUGCUCAGAGUAAGAUUGCAGAAAAAAGGAAAUGAGACUACUACAGAAGAACAUUAUGGAGCCGAAGUUGUAGAAGAGAUGAAGAGGAAGGCUAGUAUUUGAAGGGACCAGAGCAGCAGAGAGGCUGAAAGCAUGAUGGGAGCUUUGGGGAGGACAGUAGAGAGCCUUUUAGGCAGUUUGCUUUGUGCUGUGUGAAAUGAUUUUCCCCUGGUUUCCUCUGCAAAUGACUUCAGGAAAACACUGGCUCAAGGAUCUUGAGGUCAGAUGUACUAUAUGAUGUCUUUGCAUUGGGUAUUAGCCUCAAAGCUCUGGCAAUAAGGCCUACCUAAAUUCAACAACCUUCUUAUUUGCUAACAAAAUCAAUCUAAGCCUUGUAGAUCUGUCUGGGGGUUACAGUUGUCCAAGAUCAGCCCUUUCUCAUUGUCCAUCUCCUCAAUUUAUUUUUCAAUUUUUAACAAUAAAUAUGGACCACUUAUAAAAGAUUAUUUGAAACAUUUCCAGGCCAGGGUCAACCAGUUGCUCAUCAGUGACAGGAGAUGGAGCAAAGUUCUGAGGCAAGACGCACUUUACACACUGGGUCACACAGAAGAAAUGGCUGGGGAAGAUCUAUGUCAAACCUGGAUGUGUGGCCUUGCUGUAGAUUGCUGGCAAUGAAUGUUGCCAUGGUCUGCAAAGGCCUGCAGGGAGAGGAGUUUACAGGAUCAGCUCAGAAAGAUUGCUAGGCACAGGUGGGUUUUUUUUUUUUUUUCAAAAUCCCAUCCAAAAGCAUUUACUUUAAUAAAUAUACUGAGAUGAAAUAAUAAUCAUGUCACUGGUGCAUAAGAAGGAUAAUAAGAUAUUAAUAUACAGCCCAAAUAAAUUCAACUCCCUUUGAGAGAAAUAGCUAACUUGCCAAUAUGUAUGAAUCAAUUUAACUUACAAAGGGAGAAGAGUUGUUCGUUGGAGUACACUGAGAGUAGUGAUUAAUAGACUGCCAAUUCUAAUAUGAAUUUUGUUUCUGUCCCAGGGAGGGUUUAAAAUUCAUUGUAUUUUUAGGCAUACAAUUCUUCUACACCUAUUUUUUUUCAAUUUUAAACUUUAUAGGUUCUCUCUGUGAAAAAAGAAAAAAUGAGGGAAGGGUUGAAAGUGAAAUGUAAAACCUUGCAAACCUUCCUUUUUAAUGUGUGUAAGCAUAUAAAUACUUAGGCAUUUAAAUAGUAAGAUUAUGUUUUACACAUUGUGUUUGUAACUUGGGGUUUUUGAUGCUCGUUAAUUGAUUUAAUAGCUUUUUCCUGAGUAUCUAUUAGGCCCAUGGCAUUUUAUUAGGCUCUGAGGGGUAGCAUGGGGCUAUUCUCAGAGGUCAGAGUUUAGGGGAGGAGGAAAGAGAAUAAGUAGGUAAAUAAGCAUACAGUUGUAAACACAUACACAAUGUCUACUGUAUACAUUAUGUAAUUACGCUUUUCAAAGCACGCUGAUAGGAAGGAGAAGAAGUGGGAGGCAGAACAAUGAGCAGGUUAUAUUCAGUAAAAGGAGCCAUGGAUACUGCUCUGAGAAGGUGACACAGAAGGCAGGACCCAAGGACAAGUCACAAGACAGCCUUAGCGCAAGAAGGUAGAGUUUCAAUCAGAUAUGUUACACUAAAUAAAAACCCAAUUUGGCUGACACUACACCUCCCUUGCAAAAGAGGAAACUGAGGCUCAGGGAGUCUGAGGAGCCUUUUCAAAGCCACACAUUAACUUCUGCAAGAGUUCGCAUAGGUUUUAUGUUCAGUCAUCAAGUUGCUAAACAAUUGAGCUUUAUCCCAAAGCUUCAAUGGUAGACUUCAAGUGGAAUGCAUUAUCUGCUUAUAAAAGUCACACUGAUUAUUGUCAACUUUAUCAUCAUUGUCAUUGUCACUGUCAUCACCAUCAGCAGCAGCUAAAGCUAGCAAAGGCUCUACUAGCCAUGCAGGAGCCAGCAGCACACAAAAAGCCAAACUCCCUCUUGCCUAUGACCCAUCUGUCAGUGGAGCCCUCUGUGAAUGGAUGCUGGAUGCCGGUGAGCAUUUGCAUUUGGUUGUUCAUUCCACAUUUUUGCCCUUUCAGCCCUUCCCAUAAGCAUGUAUAAGGGAUACAAAGCCAUUUUAAUGCACAAAUGGCCAGGGGGUGCCUCUGGUUUUGGUAUCUAUUUAUAUCCAUAUAGCCAGAUGGAAAUCUAUCCUUAAGGUCCUAACAUGCACUAUUAAAGGAGAAAAACAAAAGCCACCAGGUCAAAGCAUGAGUCCCAGUGGGAAGUUAUUAGGAUCAUGGUGGUAUUACUCCAAGUCUGGUCCAUCAUUAUACAUGAAUCGUCAGUGCAUAUUGGGUAAGGCAAAGGGGAGCAGAGCAUUCCACUCUGAGGCUGUAUGUAUGCAUGUGUGUGUGUGUGUGUGCGCGCGCGCGCAUGUGUGCAAUUUUUUUACAGAACCAUAAUAAUGGGAAUUUAUUGAUCAUCUGUAUAUGCCUAAACCUUUGAAGAAGGCAGUAGGUUUAAAUAGAAUAAAGAGAACAAGCUGGAGUUUGAAGGUCUAUAUCAAGAAUGUUUGAGAUUCAUUCCUAAAACUUACUAUAUAAGCAAUUCUAAUA